This 253-nucleotide ribosomal RNA is filed under the name uncultured bacterium. RNAcentral's name for it is "partial 16S ribosomal RNA". It matches the Rfam family "Bacterial small subunit ribosomal RNA", at positions 524 to 776 of the family's 1533-position model. The record is from RNAcentral.
UACGUAGGAGGCAAGCGUUGUCCGGAAUUACUGGGCGUAAAGCGCGUGUAGGUGGUGGGACAAGUCUGCUGUGAAAGCGCCUGGCUUAACCGGGCGAGGUCGGCGGAAACUGCCUCACUUGAGGACGGUAGAGGGGGGUGGAAUUCCCGGUGUAGUGGUGAAAUGCGUAGAGAUCGGGAGGAACACCUGUGGCGAAGGCGGCCCCCUGGGCCGGCCCUGACACUGAGACGCGAAGGCGUGGGGAGCGAACGGG